UACGUAGGGUGCGAGCGUUAAUCGGAAUUACUGGGCGUAAAGCGUGCGCAGGCGGUUUGUUAAGUCUGAUGUGAAAGCCCCGGGCUCGACCUGGGAACUGCAUUGGAAACUGGCAAGCUCGAGUAUGGCAGAGGGGGGUGGAAUUCCGCGUGUAGCAGUGAAAUGCGUAGAGAUGCGGAGGAACACCGAUGGCGAAGGCAGCCCCCUGGGCCAAUACUGACGCUCAGGCACGAAAGCGUGGGGAGCAAACAGG
This 253-nucleotide ribosomal RNA is filed under the name uncultured bacterium. Its description in RNAcentral is "partial 16S ribosomal RNA". It matches the Rfam family "Bacterial small subunit ribosomal RNA", at positions 524 to 776 of the family's 1533-position model. The record is from RNAcentral.